This 458-nucleotide ribosomal RNA is filed under the name uncultured bacterium. Its description in RNAcentral is "partial 16S ribosomal RNA". It matches the Rfam family "Bacterial small subunit ribosomal RNA", at positions 338 to 795 of the family's 1533-position model. The record is from RNAcentral.
CCUACGGGUGGCAGCAGUGGGGAAUAUUGCACAAUGGGGGAAACCCUGAUGCAGCGACGCCGCGUGAGUGAAGAAGUAUUUCGGUACGUAAAGCUCUAUCAUCAGGGAAGAAAAACCGGCCUUAGGGCCGCCAGCCGGUACCUGACUAAGAAGCCCCGGCUAACUACGUGCUAGCAGCCGCGGUACUACGUAGGGGAGAAGCGUUAUCCGGAUUUACUGGGUGUAAAGGGAGCGUAGACGGCAGCGCAAGUCUGGAGUGAAAUGCCGGGGCCCAACCCCGGAACUGCUUUGGAAACUGGGCAGCUGGAGUGCAGUAGAGGUAAGCGGAAUUCCUAGUGUAGCGGUGAAAUGCGUAGAUAUUAGGAGGAACACCAGUGGCGAAGGCGGCUUACUGGACUGUAACUGACGUUGAGGCUCGAAAGCGUGGGGAGCAAACAGGAUUAGAUACCCUUGUAGUC